AGUGAACGCUGGCGGUAGGCCUAACACAUGCAAGUCGAACGGCAGCACAGUAAGAGCUUGCUCUUACGGGUGGCGAGUGGCGGACGGGUGAGGAAUACAUCGGAAUCUACUUUUUCGUGGGGAUAACGUAGGGAAACUUACGCUAAUACCGCAUACGACCUACGGGUGAAAGCCGGGGAUCUUCGGACCUUGCGCGAUUGAAUGAGCCGAUGUCGGAUUAGCUAGUUGGCGGGGUAAAGGCCCACCAAGGCGACGAUCCGUAGCUGGUCUGAGAGGAUGAUCAGCCACACUGGAACUGAGACACGGUCCAGACUCCUACGGGAGGCAGCAGUGGGGAAUAUUGGACAAUGGGCGCAAGCCUGAUCCAGCCAUACCGCGUGGGUGAAGAAGGCCUUCGGGUUGUAAAGCCCUUUUGUUGGGAAAGAAAAGCAGCAGGUUAAUACCCCGCUGUUCUGACGGUACCCAAAGAAUAAGCACCGGCUAACUUCGUG
RNAcentral lists this ribosomal RNA (491 nucleotides) under uncultured bacterium. RNAcentral's name for it is "partial 16S ribosomal RNA". It matches the Rfam family "Bacterial small subunit ribosomal RNA", at positions 29 to 507 of the family's 1533-position model. The record is from RNAcentral.